CAGUCGCCACGGGAAUACGUAGGGUGCAAGCGUUAAUCGGAAUUACUGGGCGUAAAGCGUGCGCGGGCGGUUUGUUAAGACAGAUGUGAAAUCCCCGGGCUCAACCUGGGAACUGCAUUUGUGACUGGCAAGCUAGAGUGCGGCAGAGGGGGGUGGAAUUCCGCGUGUAGCAGUGAAAUGCGUAGAGAUGUGGAGGAACACCGAUGGCGAAGGCAGCCCCCUGGGCCAAUACUGACGCUCAUGCACGAAAGCGUGGGGAGCAAACAGGAUUAGAGACCCCCGUAGUCCCUGUCUCUUAUAC
Molecule: ribosomal RNA, 301 nt
Filed under: uncultured bacterium
Lineage: Bacteria
Description: partial 16S ribosomal RNA
Rfam family: Bacterial small subunit ribosomal RNA
Source: RNAcentral